AGAUGUGAGGACACCCUGGCUGUGAUAUCUGUCACCCUGCUGGUCACCAGGAUCCAUUCAGCUGAGCUGGCUGGGCGAUGUUCUCUUCCUCCCUCACCACUUCACAUGGUGUAUUUGUUCUGCAGAAGAGAAAGACCACCCCUGAUAGAAAAGGACCCUUUCCUUGGAUGAGUAUAGCUCUGCUGCCCUGUUGGAACCUCCAAACCAACUCCCCCAAAAGAUGAUCUGUCUCACAGAAGGUUUGAUGUGGAUGUUUACAGGUCAAUGAAUACAUUACUUCUCAUAUUUCUUUUCUGUCCUUCCCUUCCCCAGACACAGGAGAGGAGA
Cavia porcellus (domestic guinea pig) is the source of this 327-nucleotide unclassified non-coding RNA. Its record names the gene 7SK. It matches the Rfam family "7SK RNA". Rfam says of the family: 7SK was discovered as an abundant small nuclear RNA in the mid-70s but a possible function has only recently been suggested. Two independent studies have found that 7SK RNA binds the CDK9/cyclin T complex (known as elongation factor P-TEFb). NCBI's taxonomy places the organism in Eukaryota, Metazoa, Chordata, Mammalia, Rodentia, Caviidae. The record is from Ensembl.